UACGGAGGAUGCAAGCGUUAUCCGGAAUCAUUGGGCGUAAAGCGUCCGCAGGUGGUAAUGUAAGUUCUUAGUUAAAGACAGAAGCUCAACUUCUGAAAGGCUAAGAAAACUGCAUAACUAGAGGCAGGUAGGGGUAGCAGGAAUUCCCAGUGUAGCGGUGAAAUGCGUAGAGAUUGGGAAGAACAUCGGUGGCGAAAGCGUGCUACUGGGCUGAGCCUGACACUGAGGGACGACAGCUAGGGGAGCGAAAGGG
This 253-nucleotide ribosomal RNA is filed under the name uncultured bacterium. Its description in RNAcentral is "partial 16S ribosomal RNA". It matches the Rfam family "Bacterial small subunit ribosomal RNA", at positions 524 to 776 of the family's 1533-position model. The record is from RNAcentral.